AUGAGCGAUCUCCCGCCGGCGGCGGCGAUGGGGGGCGAGCGGGACAUCGAGCUGGGCCUUCCCACCACCAACACCACAUCAGGCUACACGCUUCAGCACAUUCUCGAAGAUAUCCGCCAGUUCUCGACGCUGCUGGGCAGCACGCCCACGAUGCUUCACAAGCUCGAGGUAAGAGAAACGCUCAUGCCCAUCCUUUGCUCCCCGGGCCACAACGUGUUUGUUUUCCAUGAGAAAAUUGGCCUUUUUCCUCGCACUUACUUUGCACAAUUUGCUCUUCUUUCUCCCCACCUCCAGGAAGCCAACAAGGAGUUGAAAUCGGCCGCUGAAUCUGCUGCAGUGAAAGAAAUCAAGGGGCGCAUGGAGAAAGACAUGGAUGAGGCGGUGAAGAUGGCGCGGAUCAUGAAAGAGAAGCUAAUCAGAAUCUUCCAAGGCGUGCUGGUUCCAGUUCUGAACAAUAUGUCAACCGGUCAUGCAUAUCCAGGGCUCACUGUUCCUAUGACCCUGGAUCCGUCAACGCUGUCCAUCAUCACGGCACUGAAGAUAAAGCUUAAGGAAAGAAAGAAAGAUCUUGAGAAUCUGGGAAAAGCUAUGCAGGAAGAGUACAUAGAAGUGGUUCAGAGCAGGAUUUUCACAGUCACCGGAGUAAAGCUCUCUGAUGAGGUGAUUCGCGUGAUCGACACCAGCAGCAUCAUGCAGAUGUUUGAGCACAGAGUCCAUGGAAUAGGUCCAGAGCAGGCCAGCGCCAUAGGGGAGGAAAUCAAGGAGCGGCGUGCUGCGGCCAUGGAUCUCGGCAAGAAGAAUGCUGAGGUGCAAAAGAAUUUCAGGGAGAUGCUGGCGCUUGUCAAAGCGCAGGAGAAAAUAGUCAAGGCACUGAGUCAGAGUGCUGAGGCCCGUGCACGAUCUGCUGCGGAGGAGCUGGCCCGUGCGCGAUCUAGGGUCCAGGAACUGCGCGAGGAGAUGGAGGAGACAAAGCUGCUCAUCGCACUGGUUGUGAUCCUCUUCUUGUUGUGCAUCGUCGCGGUUACCCUCGGAAUCUCCGGCUGA
RNAcentral lists this ribosomal RNA (1044 nucleotides) under Triticum aestivum (bread wheat). Its description in RNAcentral is "partial small subunit ribosomal RNA". The record is from RNAcentral. Lineage: Eukaryota; Viridiplantae; Streptophyta; Magnoliopsida; Poales; Poaceae.